Long non-coding RNA from Venturia canescens, 1183 nucleotides. RefSeq lists it as uncharacterized. The record is from RefSeq and is a predicted model, not a curated record. The transcript has 5 exons. NCBI's taxonomy places the organism in Eukaryota, Metazoa, Arthropoda, Insecta, Hymenoptera, Ichneumonidae.
AGCCACAGCUGUACUUGUUUUUCACUUGGGUCUCUAUGCAGUUUUUUUUGGAGUACGAAGGAAGUACUUAAAAUUUCUCAGUGCAAACUCUGCAGAUAAUAUUCCAAAUAUUAUCGGAUCACUAAUCGAAGCGACGAUGCUUUUCAAUUACAACUAAGUUGGACACAGAGUUCAACACAGCAGUGUUGAACACAGACGAUAGGUCUUGUCGGAAUAUGACAAACCAUUCGCAGUGUCAGUCUCCAUGGCAGUGUGCUUACUGUGCUUCACAUUACCAACAUACUUCGAUUGCUCCAAUUGAAAUUGAAAAGCACCCAUAACCACCGACAACUAUACUCGACUAACUUGGAGUGAUGAGUAAUUUCAGAGACAGAAAAUAUUGUAAAUCUAUGUUCUCUGUUACCAUGCCGUGUGCGAUUCCAACGUGUAACCUGGGUCGUAAAUCAGCGAAAGAAAAAGGCUUGGUAUUUCAAAUUCCAUAAAAUCUUAAGCUCCAUGAAAAAUGGAUAGCUGCGAUUCCUAUGGAAUUUUUGACUUUAAGCCGUUGCAAUUCAUAUGUGAGAAACACUUUCUCGAACAAUACAUUCGGAAAAAAAUGAAUAGAAUAUCACUCCGGUGGGCAGGUUAUUGCAGAGCGCUUCAUGCUCUGGCUCUACUCUAUGCGUUGGCAGUAUCCGCAUAAUUUGACACUCCGAAUGAUGAGCAUAAUCCUACUGCGGCCGCUGACUUCUCUAUUGAAAAACGUUUGUCAGCGGAGCAGAAUUACGUUAUCAGCGUUGAGAGGAUUUUCUGCAGUUGGCGCGAAGGUGGUACUUUCAGUUACAGUAAUUGACAUUCCAACAAAAACUUCAGAAUAUAAUAUUGACUCUUGGAAUUGAUAAAAAGCAGAAACCAAAGAGAUCUCGGCAGUGAAUACUGUCAUUUUUGAGUUGACUCAAUGCAUACAGGUUGUUACUUCCAAAUCAUUGUGUAUCCGAUAUGCGAGGCAGUUCGUUUAACAUUGUAGAAGUUGCUUUCAACUGUAAGUGUCUUCCUUCGACAUCCAUUAUUUAUUAUAUUCGACUGCGUCUAAGGCAAAACGCCUAUCAAGAAAAUUUAGAAGUAGAAAAAAAAAUUUUUGAAAAAACUUAUUUAAAUUAAAUCAUUAAAAUAAAUCAAUAAAGCGAUCAAAAGUAUCAGUUUA